GAGUCUGCGUCUUAUUAGCUAGUUGGUAGGGUAAGAGCCUACCAAGGCUAUGAUAAGUAACCGGCCUGAGAGGGUGAUCGGUCACACUGGAACUGAGAUACGGUCCAGACUCCUACGGGAGGCAGCAGCUAAGAAUCUUCCGCAAUGGGCGAAAGCCUGACGGAGCGACACUGCGUGAACGAAGAAGGUCGAAAGAUUGUAAAGUUCUUUUAUAAAUGAGGAAUAAGCUUUGUAGGAAAUGACAAGGUGAUGACGUUAAUUUAUGAAUAAGCCCCGGCUAAUUACGUGCCAGCAGCCGCGGUAAUACGUAAGGGGCGAGCGUUGUUCGGGAUUAUUGGGCGUAAAGGGUGAGUAG
Molecule: ribosomal RNA, 355 nt
Filed under: Candidatus Borrelia lonestari
Lineage: Bacteria; Pseudomonadati; Spirochaetota; Spirochaetia; Spirochaetales; Borreliaceae
Description: bacterial SSU rRNA
Rfam family: Bacterial small subunit ribosomal RNA
Source: RNAcentral